This 253-nucleotide ribosomal RNA is filed under the name uncultured Odoribacter sp. Its description in RNAcentral is "partial 16S ribosomal RNA". It matches the Rfam family "Bacterial small subunit ribosomal RNA", at positions 524 to 776 of the family's 1533-position model. Lineage: Bacteria; Pseudomonadati; Bacteroidota; Bacteroidia; Bacteroidales; Odoribacteraceae. The record is from RNAcentral.
UACGGAGGAUUCAAGCGUUAUCCGGAUUUAUUGGGUUUAAAGGGUGCGUAGGCGGUUUGAUAAGUUAGAGGUGAAAUACCGGUGCUUAACACCGGAACUGCCUCUAAUACUGUUGAGCUAGAGAACAGACGAGGUAGGCGGAAUAAGUUAAGUAGCGGUGAAAUGCAUAGAUAUAACUUAGAACACCGAUAGCGAAGGCAGCUUACCAGACUGAGUCUGACGCUGAUGCACGAGAGCAUGGGUAGCGAACAGG